RNAcentral lists this ribosomal RNA (440 nucleotides) under uncultured bacterium. RNAcentral describes it as "partial 16S ribosomal RNA". It matches the Rfam family "Bacterial small subunit ribosomal RNA", at positions 338 to 795 of the family's 1533-position model. The record is from RNAcentral.
CCUACGGGUGACAGCAGUGGGGAAUAUUGCACAAUGGGGGAAACUCUGAUGCAGCGACGCCGCGUGAGGGAAGAAGUAUUUCGGUACGUAAAGCUUUAUCAGCAGGGAAGAAAAUGACGGUACCUGACUAAGAAGCCCCCGCUAACCACGUGCCAGCAGCCGCGGUAAUACGUAGGGGGCAAGCGUUAUCCGGAUUUACUGGGUGUAAAGGGAGCGUAGACGGCAGCGCAAGUCUGGAGUGAAAUCCCAUGGCUUAACCAUGGAACUGCCGUGGAAACUGGGCAGCUAGAGUGCAGGAGAGGAAAGCGGAAUUCCUAGUGUAGCGGUGAAAUGCGUAGAUAUUAGGAGGAACACCAGUGGCGAAGGCGGCUUACUGGACUGUAACUGACGUUGAGGCUCGAAAGCGUGGGGAGCAAACAGGAUUAGAUACCCGUGUAGUC